ACAGUGGCUUAAUUUGACUCAACGCGGGAAAUCUUACCGGGUCCGGACACACUGAGGAUUGACAGACAGUAUUCAUGCCGACUGAAUUUCGACAUAUUUCAAAUGUGCGAGUUCUUUCAUGAUUGUGUGAUAGGUGGUGCAUGGCCGUUCUUAGUUCGUGGAGUGAUCUGUCUGCUUAAUUGCGUUUCAUAUUUACGAAUGUCGCUUACGUGAUUGCUGCAGACCUCGUCUCUUUAUUGAGUGCGACGCGUCUCUUCAACUCACUCGCACAUUCUCUUGAACGCAACGAGCGUGACCGCAACCUCUUGUUGUGUAUACCAAGUGUGUCGUUGCUUGCAACUCACACUCCAAUGCACGUAUUUUGGUCACAUUGUCUCGGCCGUCGCGCGCAGCCUCGGCUGUGUCGGCGCCAGCAAUGUCCAAAUAAACUUGAGGGACCGCUGUAACAAUUCUUUUAAACCAGAGGAAGGUUGCGGCAAUAACAGG
RNAcentral lists this ribosomal RNA (486 nucleotides) under Hastigerina pelagica. RNAcentral describes it as "bacterial SSU rRNA". It matches the Rfam family "Eukaryotic small subunit ribosomal RNA", at positions 1185 to 1460 of the family's 1831-position model. Lineage: Eukaryota; Foraminifera; Rotaliida; Hantkeninidae. The record is from RNAcentral.